Molecule: ribosomal RNA, 791 nt
Filed under: uncultured archaeon
Lineage: Archaea
Description: bacterial SSU rRNA
Rfam family: Archaeal small subunit ribosomal RNA
Source: RNAcentral
ACUGCUCAGUAACACGUGGAUAACAUGCCCUAAGGUGGGGGAUAAUCUCGGGAAACUGAGGGUAAUACCCCAUAGGUCUGAUGUGCUGGAAUGCUUUCAGGCCGAAAACUCCGGUGCCUUAGGAUUGGUCUGCGGUCUAUCAGGCUGUAGUGGGUGUAACGGACCCACUAGCCCGUGACGGAUAUGGGCCUUGAGAGAGGGAGCCCAGAGAUGGACUCUGAGACAUGAGUCCAGGCCCUACGGGGCGCAGCAGUCGCGAAAACUUCGCAAUGGGGGCAACCCCGACGAGGGAAUUCCAAGUGCCAGCACUUUGUGUUGGCUGUUCUCCUGUCUAAAAAACAGGAGGAGUAAGGGGCGGGUAAGACGGGUGCCAGCCGCCGCGGUAAUACCCGCGCCCCAAGUGGUGGUCGAUAUUAUUGAGCCUAAAACGUCCGUAGCCGGUCUUCUAAAUCCUUGGGUAAAUCGGGCAGCUUAACUGUCCGAAGUCCGGGGAGACUGGGAGACUUGGGACCGGGAGAGGUCAGAGGUACUUCUGGGGUAGGGGUAAAAUCCUGUAAUCCUGGAAGGACCACCGGUGGCGAAGGCGUCUGACUAGAACGGAUCCGACGGUGAGGGACGAAGCCCUGGGGCGCAAACGGGAUUAGAUACCCCGGUAGCCCAGGGUGUAAACGCUGCGGGCUUGGUGUUGGGGGUCCUUAGUGGGCGCCCAGUGCCGGAGAGAAGUUGUUAAGCCUGCUGCUUGGGGAGUAUGUCCGCAAGGACGAAACUUAAAGGAAUUGGCGGGGGAGCAC